AGAGUUUGAUCCUGGCUCAGGAUGAACGCUGGCGGCGUGCUUAACACAUGCAAGUCGAACGAAGCGCUUUACCACGAUUCCUUCGGGAUGACGGUUUAGCGACUGAGUGGCGGACGGGUGAGUAACGCGUGGGGAACCUGCCCCAUACCGGGGGAUAACAGCCGGAAACGGCUGCUAAUACCGCAUAAGCGCACAGUACCGCAUGGUACGGUGUGAAAAACUCCGGUGGUAUGGGAUGGACCCGCGUCUGAUUAGCUAGUUGGUGAGGUAACGGCCCACCAAAGCGACGAUCAGUAGCCGGCCUGAGAGGGCGACCGGCCACAUUGGGACUGAGACACGGCCCAGACUCCUACGGGAGGCAGCAGUGGGGAAUAUUGCACAAUGGGGGAAACCCUGAUGCAGCGACGCCGCGUGAGUGAGGAAGUAUUUCGGUAUGUAAAGCUCUAUCAGCAGGGAAGAAGAAAUGACGGUACCUGACUAAGAAGCCCCGGCUAACUACGUGCCAGCAGCCGCGGUAAUACGUAGGGGGCAAGCGUUAUCCGGAUUUACUGGGUGUAAAGGGAGCGCAGGCGGCAUGAUAAGUCUGAUGUGAAAACCCAAGGCUCAACCAUGGGACUGCAUUGGAAACUGUCGUGCUGGAGUGUCGGAGAGGUAAGCGGAAUUCCUAGUGUAGCGGUGAAAUGCGUAGAUAUUAGGAGGAACACCAGUGGCGAAGGCGGCUUACUGGACGAUGACUGACGCUGAGGCUCGAAAGCAUGGGGAGCAAACAGAAUUAGAUACCCUGGUAGUCCACGCCGUAAACGAUUAAUACUAGGUGUCGGGGGCCGUAUAGGCUUCGGUGC
RNAcentral lists this ribosomal RNA (842 nucleotides) under uncultured bacterium. Its description in RNAcentral is "bacterial SSU rRNA". It matches the Rfam family "Bacterial small subunit ribosomal RNA", at positions 8 to 846 of the family's 1533-position model. The record is from RNAcentral.